UGCUUCCCAUGAAUCUAAUGUAGUCACUAAAAUCACUCUUAUUACAGUGAUAUAGUAGAUUCAAAUUUACCAUGAUGUUAUUCCCAUACAUUGUUUUUUUACGUUUCGUUUUACUUGCUAUAUUACCUACUUCAGUCCUACAUUUUAUAAAAUAUAUAUUAGGUAACUACUACACUUUUUGAUAAAAUUACAAAUUCAGAAAAUAAAGACAAUGAUAAUUCAGGGAAUGGCAAAGUGUUCAAACAUACCAAAGUAUUAACGAUAAAGAUUAACGUAUCGAAUUAUCUCGUAUAACGAAACGUAAGUACAUCAACAAAGAAAAAUGGCAGAUAGGUGGCGUCUUGCGUAUAAUUAGACAUUCUAAUAUUUAUUAAAUUCUUAAAUUUAUCUAUGAAUAUUUGCAGUCAUCGCUGUGUAUCAUUUUUUAAUCAAUCAUUUUGAUAUAAUUACCGAUACUGUGAUCUUUUCCGUAAUACUGAGUACAUUAUUCAGUGAAAUCAGAAUGUUGUGUGCUGAAGGGAGCUCUAUUAUUUUAUAACUCUAUCGACUAGACCGCGAAAUAAACUAAAUUCAAAUUAUUCAAAAGUGUUAAAACUAUUCAAUAUAGGAUAUUAAAAAAUGGUAGAUUUAAAAGCCUGUAGAGUGUGCCUCGCCACCGAUGUGAAGAUACAUAGCUUACGAGGAUAUCCACUUGAAGCUUAUUUUGAGGCUAUCGUUGGCAUGAAUCCCCUGUAUUUUGCUGAUUUACCACUGUACGCCUGCUAUGAAUGUGCAGCACUCAUAAAAAAGUACAAUAUCUUCAGAGAAAAAUGUUUGAAGGGUCAAACUGUUUUGUAUACUAUACUGCAGAAACAUGGCCAAAUAACAUUAGACAACAUUAAAGAACUUGAUAGAGAAAAACUCAAUCUUUCUUCCAAUUAUAAUCAGUUCCUUUUAUUCAAAGAUGAGUUGCUUGUACAGGGUACUGACUUGGAAUCUGAAACUCAUGUCAAACAGGAAACUGCUAAUGAAAACUUGGAAUUGUUAGAAAACUUCCUUCCUCUGACCGAGCCCCACAAUCUUGAGUUUGAUGUGGACGUAGAUGUACAAGUGAAGCUUCUGAAGACUGAAGAUGACUAUGCAGACUUGCCAUCAUUAGGGCCAGACUCCACAGAUGAUGAUGAACCACUCGCCACACACAAAAGCCUUAAAGAGAAAUCUGUUAAGAAAGACAAGAAGAAGAAAGUGAAAAAAGAUGGUAAGAAAAAGAAGAAAGAACCCAUUACUAAACUGGAAGAAUUAGAUUUGUCUCAGGAGAUAUUUGAUGAAAUUAAUGGUGAAGUGGAGUUGCCAAUUUUGCCAACAGAAGCCUUAGAGCCUGAAGUAAAGAAGGCCAAGAGAGGGCGUCCAAGAAAGACUGAGGCCAAGACUGUGGAGCCCAAAGCUAAGACUCGGCGGACCACCAACACCGGCGGCGUGGCGGCUGAUGAAGCUGACUUGGAGGAAUAUGUUAAUGUUAUUAAAUUAUCGGUAGAGGAGCAAAUAGCAGAGAUAACCUCGCGGCAGCAGUCGUCCAACUACCUGAACGCCCCGUUCCAGUGCAGCCUGUGCUACAAGGGGUUCAUAGACACGCACGCCUGGAAGCAUCAUGUGGGGAAACAUGGGCCUAGCGCGGGCGACGUGGAGUGUCCCAUCUGCAAGUUCCGCUUCAAGACGAAGCGCGCGCUUCAGAAGCACGCCGCCAACCACGAGAAGAAGUACGCGUGCAAGUCCUGUCCCUACGUGUCCAAGACCACGACUCAAGCAAAGCAACAUCAUAGGUGGCAUAAAGGUGUCACGUACAAAUGUCAAUACUGUGACGAAGUUUCUACCAAAUGGACCUCCUACCUCAGCCACGUGCGCAUCAAGCACCCGUCAGAGUUCAUAUGCGGCGUCUGCGGGUACUCGUUCGUGAGCAAACUGGGACUUACUAUGCACAAGAGCAUGAUGCAUAAGGAUGUCAUUGCUCAAGAAGAGGCACAAGGCGCCGACACGGGCGGCCCGUACUGCGAGCUGUGCUCCGUGCAGUUCACGUCCGCGCAGGCGUGGAAGCGACACAUGGUCACGUCCGUCAAGCACACGCAGGCCACGCACUUCAAUAAUGGCUGUCGAGUCUGCGGUGAAAGUUUCAAAUCUCCGGAAGAGUUGAGAAUUCACCAUAGAAAGGAACAUGCGAGGAAACGACCGAAGAACUACGGCAAGAAGCCUCCCAUCAUGACGUGGCCUUCUAAGUGUGAACAUUGUGAGGAAGAGAUCCCGAACGCGCGCGAGUACUGGACUCACUUCCGGCGCGCACACCCGGACCGGCAGUACCCCAUACAGAAGAGCUACAUCUGCGAGAUCUGCGGCAAGAGCUUCCGAGGCAACGCGUUCCUAGUCUACCACAAGAGAACGCACUUCGAGGAACGCGCUUACAAAUGCGCUCAGUGCCCGAAGGCGUUCUUCAACCGCACCAACCUGCAGAUGCACGAGAAAACACACAGUGAUCGCCGCCCGUACCCCUGCACUGUUUGUUUUAAGGCUUUCAAGUGUAAAGGAGCUUUGGAUCGACAUUUUAGGAGUCACACUGGCGUGAAACCCUAUACCUGCGAAUUCUGUGGCAAAUCGUUCGGCCAGUCCAACAGUCGCAAGCUACACGUGAGGACGGUGCACCUGAGGCAACCCGCGCCCUACGUGAGCCGCGCGAGGCAGGAGCGACGCCGCACGUAGCCACAGAGGUGACAGACAGAUACACACACACAGUCCAACAGUCGCAAGCUACACGUGAGGACGGUGCACCUGAGGCAACCCGCGCCCUACGUGAGCCGCGCGAGGCAGGAGCGACGCCGCACGUAGCCACAGAGGUGACAGACAGAUACACACACACAGUCCAACAGUCGCAAGCUACACGUGAGGACGGUGCACCUGAGGCAACCCGCGCCCUACGUGAGCCGCGCGAGGCAGGAGCGACGCCGCACGUAGCCACAGAGGUGACAGACAGAUACACACACACAGUCCAACAGUCGCAAGCUACACGUGAGGACGGUGCACCUGAGGCAACCCGCGCCCUACGUGAGCCGCGCGAGGCAGGAGCGACGCCGCACGUAGCCACAGAGGUAUACAAUUAUGGUUGAAGCCACCGGUGCAGUGCAGAUAUCAUCAGCUAAUUAAGAUCACGAAACUAUAAACAAGGACUUUUUGGCAAUAGGUAGAUACUUGUGCCUUUU
This is a non-coding RNA of Plutella xylostella (diamondback moth), 3224 nucleotides long. The record is from RefSeq and is a predicted model, not a curated record. NCBI's taxonomy places the organism in Eukaryota, Metazoa, Arthropoda, Insecta, Lepidoptera, Plutellidae.